AACGAACGCUGGCGGCAUGCCUAACACAUGCAAGUCGAACGAGACCUUCGGGUCUAGUGGCGCACGGGUGCGUAACGCGUGGGAACCUGCCCUUAGGUUCGGAAUAACUCCCCGAAAGGGGUGCUAAUACCGGAUAAUGUCUUCGGACCAAAGAUUUAUCGCCUUUGGAUGGGCCCGCGUUGGAUUAGCUAGUUGGUAGGGUAAAAGCCUACCAAGGCGACGAUCCAUAGCUGGUCUGAGAGGAUGAUCAGCCACACUGGGACUGAGACACGGCCCAGACUCCUACGGAAGGCAGCAGUGGGGAAUAUUGGACAAUGGGCGAAAGCCUGAUCCAGCAAUGCCGCGUGAGUGAUGAAGGCCUUAGGGUUGUAAAGCUCUUUUACACGGGAUGAUAAUGACAGUACCGGGAGAAUAAGCUCCGGCUAACUCCGUG
This 433-nucleotide ribosomal RNA is filed under the name uncultured bacterium. Its description in RNAcentral is "partial 16S ribosomal RNA". It matches the Rfam family "Bacterial small subunit ribosomal RNA", at positions 29 to 507 of the family's 1533-position model. The record is from RNAcentral.